Molecule: ribosomal RNA, 438 nt
Filed under: uncultured Escherichia sp.
Lineage: Bacteria; Pseudomonadati; Pseudomonadota; Gammaproteobacteria; Enterobacterales; Enterobacteriaceae
Description: bacterial SSU rRNA
Rfam family: Bacterial small subunit ribosomal RNA
Source: RNAcentral
GCUAAUACCGCAUAACGUCGCAGACCAAAGAGGGGGACCUUCGGGCCUCUUGCCAUCGGAUGUGCCCAGAUGGGAUUAGCUAGUAGGUGGGGUAACGGCUCACCUAGGCGACGAUCCCUAGCUGGUCUGAGAGGAUGACCAGCCACACUGGAACUGAGACACGGUCCAGACUCCUACGGGAGGCAGCAGUGGGGAAUAUUGCACAAUGGGCGCAAGCCUGAUGCAGCCAUGCCGCGUGUAUGAAGAAGGCCUUCGGGUUGUAAAGUACUUUCAGCGGGGAGGAAGGGAGUAAAGUUAAUACCUUUGCUCAUUGACGUUACCCGCAGAAGAAGCACCGGCUAACUCCGUGCCAGCAGCCGCGGUAAUACGGAGGGUGCAAGCGUUAAUCGGAAUUACUGGGCGUAAAGCGCACGCAGGCGGUUUGUUAAGUCAGAUGUG